CGCUCUGCAAACCACUCCAGCACAGCUGCGAAGUCGUAACCUGUGAGGGGUGGAGGAAGAGCAGGGAUGUGCACACGUGGGAGUGGAGAAGGCUCUUGCCGAACCUGACCCAUCCAAGGGGGAGCCAGCACCUUGGUCAUCCCUAGAUGUUUUGAAAUCAUUUAUGCUUCACACAAAUACGUGCCACAGAGAAACUGCUGUGUUCAGACAGCUACUGCUGUGGCCUUGUGUGUGGCAACAAGACUGGCAAGUCAAGCUUCUUAAUAGUGUCCAUCAGCACAGCCUAAAAGGCUGUGGAGAGCUGGGUAACUACAGCAUCUGUAUCCAGAGUGCUUUGAGACACCUAUCUCUACUGCUUAGAUCUGCCAGGACUUGUCUAGCUGUGUGAGACUAACUGGAUUCCAUCCCACUCAAAACGAGGAUGCAAAUCACCUGCGUGGCCUGAGUGAUCCUGCUGCCUGUGCACAGAGCACAGCGACCAGCACUUCCCUUGUGGCAGUGCCACCGCCUCCAGUUUCCAGAGGUGGACUCCAGCUAAAAAGUCUGGGUUCAAAUUUUGCAUCCCUCGCAAUUAAGACUAAUGCUUCCCACUGACAWAGGACAAUCUCUAGGGUACAAGGCAUAAUAAAUGGUGUGCAUUUCAAAGCAACAGUGACAAAAAAUGACUUUCCCAGC
Molecule: long non-coding RNA, 675 nt
Organism: Nothoprocta perdicaria
Lineage: Eukaryota; Metazoa; Chordata; Aves; Tinamiformes; Tinamidae
Exons: 2
Source: RefSeq, a predicted model, not a curated record